This 1020-nucleotide ribosomal RNA is filed under the name Salmonella enterica subsp. enterica serovar Poona. RNAcentral's name for it is "partial 23S ribosomal RNA". It matches the Rfam family "Bacterial large subunit ribosomal RNA", at positions 1 to 1506 of the family's 2925-position model. Lineage: Bacteria; Pseudomonadati; Pseudomonadota; Gammaproteobacteria; Enterobacterales; Enterobacteriaceae. The record is from RNAcentral.
CCACCACUAAGCCAGUGGUGAACUCCACAUACGCAUCCUUUGCUGAGGAUACGGUUAACGGAGCGAAAGCGACGUUCAACCUCAAAAGAAGCAGAGGGGGCUUAGUGGUGGGGUGACUGCGUACCUUUUGUAUAAUGGGUCAGCGACUUAUAUUCUGUAGCAAGGUUAACCGUAUAGGGGAGCCGCAGGGAAACCGAGUCUUAACCGGGCGUUAAGUUGCAGGGUAUAGACCCGAAACCCGGUGAUCUAGCCAUGGGCAGGUUGAAGGUUGGGUAACACUAACUGGAGGACCGAACCGACUAAUGUUGAAAAAUUAGCGGAUGACCUGUGGCUGGGGGUGAAAGGCCAAUCAAACCGGGAGAUAGCUGGUUCUCCCCGAAAGCUAUUUAGGUAGCGCCUCGUGAACUCAUCUCCGGGGGUAGAGCACUGUUUCGGCUAGGGGGCCAUCCCGGCUUACCAACCCGAUGCAAACUGCGAAUACCGGAGAAUGUUAUCACGGGAGACACACGGCGGGUGCUAACGUCCGUCGUGAAGAGGGAAACAACCCAGACCGCCAGCUAAGGUCCCAAAGUCAUGGUUAAGUGGGAAACGAUGUGGGAAGGCCCAGACAGCCAGGAUGUUGGCUUAGAAGCAGCCAUCAUUUAAAGAAAGCGUAAUAGCUCACUGGUCGAGUCGGCCUGCGCGGAAGAUGUAACGGGGCUAAACCAUGCACCGAAGCUGCGGCAGCGACACUAUGUGUUGUUGGGUAGGGGAGCGUUCUGUAAGCCUGUGAAGGUGGCCUGUGAGGGUUGCUGGAGGUAUCAGAAGUGCGAAUGCUGACAUAAGUAACGAUAAAGCGGGUGAAAAGCCCGCUCGCCGGAAGACCAAGGGUUCCUGUCCAACGUUAAUCGGGGCAGGGUGAGUCGACCCCUAAGGCGAGGCCGAAAGGCGUAGUCGAUGGGAAACGGGUUAAUAUUCCCGUACUUGGUGUUACUGCGAAGGGGGGACGGAGAAGGCUAUGUUGGCCGGGCGACGGUUGUC